Long non-coding RNA from Acinonyx jubatus (cheetah), 2423 nucleotides. RefSeq lists it as uncharacterized. The transcript has 3 exons. Lineage: Eukaryota; Metazoa; Chordata; Mammalia; Carnivora; Felidae. The record is from RefSeq and is a predicted model, not a curated record.
UGUGCUUGCUUGGUGCCACAGAUGUUGCUGCAAGAACUCAUCCUUCCCAGCUGGAAUGACAACAUCCACAGCCGUCAGCCCUAUGAGCUCUGGCUUCAGGAUUAAAAGGCAUAUUAAAGGGAGCCUGUUGUGUCCUGGAUGCCAGCAUGGCCAUCAUGAUGGAGAACAGGCAGCCUUAGCAUCUGGCUGUUUGGUCAUCUAUGAAGACAGAGUUAUUUUCAUUCUCCGGGAAGGACGUUCUAGGUGUUAAUAGCACUAAUUAUGUGCCAGAUCAUGAGAGGAUAAUAAGAUGAGUGGGGCAGUCUGCUCUCAGUGGACACUUAGAUUAGAUGGAGAAACGCUUCUGAAGCAAGAAAUGCAACAAAAGGGGGCACCCAAACCAGGUAUUUGCAGUGAUUGGUGAUUUCUCUGUGCAAAUGCUAAGAAUGCCUUGAACAAUUCCUCUGUCAGCAAGUAAACCCAUAUUUGUAUUAUUAUGAUCUCUAUGUCUACCAAUACAUUACAGUACCAAUUUGCUGGAAAUUUGAAUUUCAGUCAAGUAAAUGCAAUUACUUUUUAUUUUAUUUGGAAAAGGUUCAUAACCAUGGAAAUAGAAAUAAGUCUUUAUGUCUCAUGAAACUCCAAGAACACCACAGACUUUAUCUUAUUUGUCUUCAUGGUCUCCUUGAGACAAGAGAGGCAGAAAAUUGAGGCGCCAAAGAGAUUAGUGUUUUCCAUGGCUCCAUGUGUGAGUCAGUGGUGAGGCCAGGCACGGGCCCUGUUCUAUUUAUUCUCUUUGAAAUAUCAUUCAAUUUUUCAUACUGCUUUUCUCUCCCAUAAAAUCAUUCUGAGAUAAUGAGAGUGAAGUUGCCAUUAGAGCCACUUUUCCACAGAGCCAGUGCUGCAAAGUAUAGGCACAGACCUGAUUUAGAUCAUCGAUCCAACACCAAACCAAAAAGCCAAUUUGCUUAAAGGACUCAGUUAGCCUCAGUGUGGACGCAGGAAGGCAUGAGAGCCUGCUAACAGGUUUUUCAUUUUUAAAUCAGGCAUUCUGGAAUUGCAUAGGCAUGACCUUAAAACUUGAAAAUGUGUUUCUACCAACAGAUAAUUUCAGAGGUAUUUUACUGUCUUGGAACAGUACCGGUAGGGAUUGUGGCUCCUUAUGAUGAACUUUUUAAUACCUUCUAAGUCAGGGGAUAUGUAGCACUUUGACAAUUUUUUAAAAAGGGAUAAUGAUAUGCAAUAAUCUUAUUACUUUACUUCUUCAAGAUGUGUUUUUAAGUAAGGCAUACAACGUCAAAAACCAAAUGGAGAAGAGCAAACCUAUAAUCUCCUUAAACCUCUUAUCUACAUGCAAACCAGAAGGUGCUUAUGAAUUUACAUGUGACAAGGUUUGAGUCUCACCUUUGAAGUUUUCCUCUUCCUCUUCUCCUUCUCCUUGUUAGUCUCUGACCUUUCUUUCUUAACGGCACAUCCUUCAAACCUAUUUAAGGAAAAAAAUCUCUGCAGAGUGCGAUACAGAUAAAAAUCUAAAUUUCAUAAGCCAUUCUUAUGACCUGUAGAGAGUCAUUUUAAUGUUGACAAACAUAUUGAUAAAGGACUUCUUGUUGAAGAGUGGGGAGAUACUUGUUUUCACAAAAGUAUUCAUAUUUUAUAACUUUUCAGGGGGUUCUCAUGAGACUUUUACAGGGCAGAUGAGACAACAUAAAUGAAAGGGCUUUGUAAACUAUAACACACUAUACACAUGCUAUUCUUAUUUUGGUACAAUUCUAUUCCACUACUCAAUAAUACCAACUAGACUAAUUCAUGUGUAUUUUAAAAAUUCUAAAUACAAAGUUUGUUUGCUCCCUGGGUACUCUAGAACUGAUUCAUUGCCUGUUCCAUUAUAUUAUAAAAUACAUUAACCUUAUAGCCAUUGUAUUUUCUGAUCUGUUUACAUGCAUUUUAGACUUCUUAAGGUUCUUUAGAUGAUUUACUCAUUGGGUUGAUUUUUACUCCUAUAUCCAUUUCUUCCUAUCAGGAUCAUUUUACUUUCCAUCUGCCUAAGAAAAGCAGGUGCCCACGCAAGAUUUAAUUAAAAAGCCAUUGCCAGCUAUAGAACUAUUGGCUUCCUACAUUACUCUAAUCAUGAAAUAAAAUAAUAGCUGGGUGAUGUUUUUCAAGAGGUCAUUAAAAAUUCUUUCUGAAGAAUACUUCUCCAUCCAUUUGCAAGAGAACCUCAAAGACUUGAGGUGAGCAAACCUAGGUGAGGCCUGACAAACUGUGUUUAGUAUUUCCCAGUUUGAGUUGAUACGAACCACAGUCAAACCUUCUUCAAGACUCAUUUCUUUGCUCUAAAAUUUUGUUUUGCAGGUGGUAUGUGAGCAGAUUUUGGUGAGAAAAAGGCAAAUUUUAUUAGAAUCCUGGAUCUGGAUAAGUAAAAGAAAACAAGUCCUCCCCCCCCU